This 2816-nucleotide long non-coding RNA is filed under the name Homo sapiens (human). RNAcentral's name for it is "HSALNT0192776". Lineage: Eukaryota; Metazoa; Chordata; Mammalia; Primates; Hominidae. The record is from RNAcentral.
CUUUAUUGAGGUGUAAUCAAUAUAGGAAAACUGCACAUAUUUAAUGUAUACAAGUUGAUAAAUUUGGACAUAUAUGCAUAUACCCAUGAAACUAUCACCACAAGAAGCGAGUCAUAGCUGCAUAUGGCUAUAGAUGUGAAAUGACAGGGGAGUGCUGAAGAAACUAUUGCUUAUAAACAGAAGGGACUUGCCUUGUCUCAGAUGAGACUUUGGACUUAGACUUUUGGGUAAUGCUGCAAUGAGCUAAGACCUGCGCUGAUGGAAAGGAAAAGGGACACACUGCAAUCCUGGAGGAGCCGCUCUGUGGAUGCAUAUGAAAAAUGGAAUCAUAGAUGCGCAAGGGAUUGAAUGGCGAACACAGAUGUGGCCCACAAAGAUCCUUAACAACUGCUGGGUGUACUGCCAGCAGACAGCCUUUAGAGAGGAGCCUCUUCAGGAAUUACUUCAGCUAUAGAGACCCACUUUUUCCAAGAUCAUGUCUUUCCAGGGGUGGUCCACAUUUAGCGACUGAUCUAGGCAAAAGUAAAAAAAGUUCAAGCCCUUUUAUCCCAAAGUGGGGCAACUCUGUUGGGCCAUUUCAGCUUUUAAAUUCCUUGUGGUGUUGGCUGAUGUUAUUGGGUUGGCCUGGCAGCCCUACAUACUCUUCUCCCCAAUCUUGUUUUUUUCCCUUUUCAUUCAUGGCUUUUGAUCUCAAGGCACUUCUUUUUUAAAAAAAUUUUUACCUCAUUUUUUUUGGACAGGGUCUCACUUUGUUGCCCAGGGCAGAGUACUGUAGCACAACCAUAGCUCAUUGCAACCUCCAGUUCCUAAGUCAUCCUCCCACCUAAGCCUCCUGUGUAGCUAGGACUAUAGGUGCAUGCCACCAUGCCCUGCAAAUUUAAAUUUUUUUUUCGUGGAGAAAGGGUCUUGGUAUACUGCUCAGGCUAGUCUCAAAUUCCUUAUCUCAAGUGAUCAUUCCCUCUUAGCCUCCCAAUGAGCCAUUGCACCUGGUCCCAAAGGCACUUCUUAAUAAGCAUCCUGCAUGCUAAACCCUGUCUAUAAAAGUCUUUAAGAAUUGGCUUUCUGUAAACCCCAGCCAGCAAUACAUAACUAUUUUGAAGCCUCCACAGAACUCUUGAGCAUUUGCUACAAACCAGCCAGCAAUCUCCUCCCAUCCAAGUUUUUCAGUGUAUAAACUCCAAUCUCUUCACAAAGUGUCAUCCUGCUCCACAAAGAAGAAUAAACUAGUUAUUGAUUAUGUCUUCUUUGCUUUCUAUACACUCCAAUCAAGCUGUUUCCUCCUUCAUAGUGUGAUGUGAACCCAUAUUGUAGGCUUUUACUCAUGAAAUGACUAUAUUAUUAAAAGAGAGAUUCUCUCAUCUCUAAGCCCUUCCUUAUGAAGAAAUUUGUAAAUAAAUUUAUUAAUGAAUUACCUAUCAUGUUUUUCUUACUCAAAAUAAAUCAGGUGCCCUAUAGCUGCUGAAGCCUUGCUUGCAUCUUAGUAAUAAUAAAGUUGGUGGCUUUAAAAUGAAUUCUAAAAAACUCAAAAUUACAUGUAUUUAUUCUUUUCAUUUCUUAUUCUCAGACUUGAAUUGGCUCACUAUUCAAAGUAUAAGUAAUGUAAACUUUUCAAGAUGAUGCUAUUCAUGAAUUGUCUCUUCUAAGCCCAAAUUACAUAAUUUUCUAGUUUAGAAAAGGCUUUGGUAUAUCUCAUUCCUAUAGCACUCAAGUUUAUCAUCAACUUUAUUGAGGAGAUUUUUAGAUUUUAAAUACUUGAAUUUUGUUUAAAAUAUCAGACACAUGUAAACUUGUCUGACUUUUAAUUUAGCAGGAAAAAAGCUUAAUAUUUCAACAAGACAUUUACCCUGAAGAGAAACAAUAACAUGGAAUAAAAUAAUUAGAACAUCUUUCAUUUAUUAGAAUAGUGAAAAUACAAAAACAAAACAAAACAUAAAAACAACAAUACCAAAUGCUGGUAAGAAUGCUGAAUACAUUCAUUGCUGGUAAGGGUGAAAAUGGUAUAGCCACUUUGGAAAACAGUUUGGUCAGUUUCUUGAAAAAAACUAAACAUAGCCUUACAAGUGGUCCAGCUAUCCCUUUUCUAGUUAUUUACUGAAGUAAGUUGAAAAUUUAGGCUCACCCCAAAAUCUGUACACAGAUGUGUAUAGAUUUAUUCAUAAUCCUCUCAAACUAGAAAUAACAAAAAUGUCCCUCAAAUGGUGAAUUGAUGAACAAAUUGUAUGUAGUAUAUCUAUAUAAUAAAAUAUAAUUCAACAACAAAAAGAUAUGUGCUGUCAAGCCACAUAAAAAAUGUAGAAAUCUAAUAUGCCUAUUGCUUAGUAAAAAAGCCAGUCUGAUAAGGCUACAUACUGUAUGAUUCUAAAUAUAUAGUAUUCUAGAAAAGGCAAAAUUAUAGAGACAAUAAAAUAUUUGUGGUUUCCUGGGAUUGAGGGGAAGAGGAAGAUUGAGCAGGUGCUACACAGGGGCACAUUAGGGCAGUGAAAGUAUUCUGCAUGAUAUUAUAAUGGUGGAUUCAUGACACUAUGCAUUUGUUAAAACCUAUAAAACUGUAACACAAGGAGUGAAGCCAAAUGUAAACUAUGGACUUUGGUUAAUAAUAAUGUAUCAAUAUUGGCUCAUCAAUUAUAACAAAUGUACCACAUUAAUGCAAGAUGUUAAUAAUGAGGAAGACUGUGAGGUGAUAAAGAGGGGAUAUAAGGGAAUUCUCUGUACUGUGUUCUCAAUUAUUGUAAACCUCAAACUUCUGUAAAAAUCCUAUUAAUAAGAUAAAAAGGAAAAUAUGUGUGUGUGUGUGUAUAUAUAUAUAUAUAUAUAAU